This is a non-coding RNA of Oryza glumipatula, 205 nucleotides long. NCBI's taxonomy places the organism in Eukaryota, Viridiplantae, Streptophyta, Magnoliopsida, Poales, Poaceae. The record is from Rfam.
AAAAAGACAAACCCUAGAUUUCUGUGUUCAACUUUGACUGUUCGUCUUAUAUGAAAUUUUUUUAUAAUUCGUAUUUUCAUUGUUGUUAGAUGAUAAAACAUGAUUAAUAUUUUAUGCGUAACUUGUCUUUUUAUUUUUUUUCAUAAUUUUUUCAAAUAAGACGGACGGUCAAACGUUGGGCACAGAAACCAGGGUUUAUCUUUUU